Molecule: long non-coding RNA, 882 nt
Filed under: Gallus gallus (chicken)
Lineage: Eukaryota; Metazoa; Chordata; Aves; Galliformes; Phasianidae
Description: long non-coding RNA NONGGAT007788
Source: RNAcentral
GUGGGAAUGUCAAUGACCGCUGCCAUCUCAUCCCUGAGCUGGUAGGUGCUCCGACCCGCUUCUCAUCUCCUUUCUGGUGCUCUUCUCUUUUCACUUUCUAAGCAGGAAUAAAUCCUUUUCUAACUUCGAAAACGAAGCGUAUAGAGUUGCGGCGGUACGGACAAACUUCGCCUAUUGCGUGUUCAGAGAAUUUGAAAGGGAACAGUUUAAAGUCCGUAAAAUUCUCAGCUGAGACACUCGGCUCUCCUGGUAGCUGCUCUUGUGAUUUGCAGAAUACUUCGUCUGUCACGACUGUCACUGGGAAUCCACAGGAGGUGAACUCAAUCAGAUUAGACUAUUUACCCCAUCAACCCUCCACCGCAGAAGGUUUUGUUACUGCGUCUGAUACCGACCCAAACCGAAGACCUCCGUGUAGUAAAAGACGAGCAGGAACGUUAAGAAAAAAAGAACCCCAGGACUCGAUUCUCACUUUAAUACAUCGCGAUGUGACUAAUAGUUACCAUCGUUCCUUUUCCUUCAAUUGUGUACCGAUCCAUUUCUUUGCGCCUUUGGUAUUUGGAGCUGACCUUCGUGCGAGUUUUACAAAUUCAGUGUGAAAUGGAAGAAUUGGAUGUGGACUGAGUUUUUUCUUUUUCUCUUUUUCUUUUCUCUGCUUCUUUUCCUUUUCUUCUUCUUGCUUCGUGUAUGUUCUGGGGUGGUUUUUGAUUUGCUGUUUUGGUUGGAUUUUGUGUGUGUGUGUGUUUGUGUGUGUGUGUGUUUGCUUUGAUGUUGGAUUUUGGGGGGUCAGUCGUUCCCUGCCUCCGGCCCUGUCCUGCGUGGUGCUUAAUUCCCCCCUCGCGAUGCUCACUCACGUCCCAGCGGCUCCGCAGCCACGCGCGACCG